UUCAGGUGCGCAUGCUUGAACGGAUACGUGUGCUCUAAUAAUAUUAACUGUAUUUAAGCGGCAUUAAUAAAUAAUUUUAUUGUGUGAAAUAGAAAAAAACGAAGUUAAAAGUGAAUACUAAGUACUAAGGUGAUAAUAACAGGUACUUAAUUAAAAAAGUGAAAUGAGGCAAAAAUAAAUAUAAAUAAAUACUAACUAAGAAAGUUUUGUGAAUCAUAAUUUUAUAAAAAAAUCGAAUAUACAAAAUUCUCGUAUUAUAAAAACAGAAUUGCUGACAAGUUGCAGAAAUUGAUUAAUCAGUAAAACACUUCAGUGAAAUUAAUAGUGAAAAGUGUUUUCAGCUACAUAUACUUAUAUAUGUCGUUAGUUCACCGGCGUGUUGAAACAUGUAAAAAACAAAAAAAAAAAACAGUGAAAAGUGAAAUAAAUUAAAGUUCCAAAUCUGUACUUAGACAGCAACCUCAACUAAACCAAUAAUCGCAACAACUAAGUGAGUUGAUAAUGCGAUGUACCACCAUAUUUGUUAGUGU
Molecule: long non-coding RNA, 530 nt
Organism: Bactrocera neohumeralis
Lineage: Eukaryota; Metazoa; Arthropoda; Insecta; Diptera; Tephritidae
Exons: 3
Source: RefSeq, a predicted model, not a curated record